Molecule: ribosomal RNA, 700 nt
Filed under: Halorubrum sp. A1FP1
Lineage: Archaea; Methanobacteriati; Methanobacteriota; Halobacteria; Halobacteriales; Haloferacaceae
Description: bacterial SSU rRNA
Rfam family: Archaeal small subunit ribosomal RNA
Source: RNAcentral
AAUGGGGACGAAUUAGCCAUGCUAGUCGCACGAGUUCAGACUCGUGGCGAAUAGCUCAGUAACACGUGGCCAAACUACCCUUCGGAACACAAUACCCUCGGGAAACUGAGGCUAAUAGUGUAUACCAUACCACCACUGGAAUGAGUGGUAUGCCAAACGCUCCGGCGCCGAAGGAUGUGGCUGCGGCCGAUUAGGUAGACGGUGGGGUAACGGCCCACCGUGCCAAUAAUCGGUAUGGGUCAUGAGAGUGAGAACCCAGAGACGGAAUCUGAGACAAGAUUCCGGGCCCUACGGGGCGCAGCAGGCGCGAAACCUUUACACUGCACGACAGUGCGAUAGGGGGAUCCCAAGUGCACAGGCAUAGCGCCUGUGCUUUUCGGUACCCUAAGGCGGUACCAGAAUAAGGGCUGGGCAAGACCGGUGCCAGCCGCCGCGGUAAUACCGGCAGCCCAAGUGAUGGCCGAUCUUAUUGGGCCUAAAGCGUCCGUAGCUGGCCGCGCAAGUCCAUCGGGAAAUCCACCUGCUCAACAGGUGGGCGCCCGGUAGAAACUGCGUGGCUUGGGACCGGAAGGCGCGACGGGUACGUCCGGGGUAGGAGUGAAAUCCCGUAAUCCUGGACGGACCGCCGAUGGCGAAAGCACGUCGCGAGAACGGAUCCGACAGUGAGGGACGAAAGCCAGGGUCUCGAACCGGAUUAGAU